RNAcentral lists this long non-coding RNA (431 nucleotides) under Olea europaea subsp. europaea. Lineage: Eukaryota; Viridiplantae; Streptophyta; Magnoliopsida; Lamiales; Oleaceae. The record is from RNAcentral.
UAACUUGUUAUGGAAAUUUUUAAUUUUUUAAAUGAUGUCUCCUUUUACACUAAAAAUAAUUUAAAAGUUUAUCAAAAAAUUUUCUAAACCACGUAAAAAAAUUUAUCAGAUUAUUUACAAAAUUAAUUUUGUAAUAGUAGUGAUAUAUUAAUUAAGUUGAAAAAUUAAAAUAGGAUUGAAGAAUAAAAUGGAAAAAUGAAAAUACUUUACAAAUGAACAGUAAUAACAUAUUCAUUCUUACAAUGUAGGGAUAGAGAAAAGUAGGGAAAAUAAAUACAAAAACUGCUGAAUUGCAGCAAAUUCAUUAUAUAUUGUUGGAAUUGUAAUUAUAUAAAUUUAUUUAUUUUGUUCGAAAGUAUUGGAAUGAUUAUUAUAUAAUUUUGUUCUUGUAUGUCGACACAGAAUUUUUUUUUAAUCCAUUUCUGUAAUUG